RNAcentral lists this ribosomal RNA (373 nucleotides) under Chionodraco hamatus (Antarctic icefish). RNAcentral's name for it is "partial 12S ribosomal RNA". It matches the Rfam family "Bacterial small subunit ribosomal RNA", at positions 799 to 1374 of the family's 1533-position model. Lineage: Eukaryota; Metazoa; Chordata; Actinopteri; Perciformes; Channichthyidae. The record is from RNAcentral.
GCCGUAAACAUUGAUAGAUUAAUACAACCCCUAUCCGCCCGGGAACUACGAGCACCAGCUUAAAACCCAAAGGACUUGGCGGUGCUUUAGAUCCUACUAGAGGAGCCUGUUCUAGAACCGAUAACCCCCGUUCAACCUCACCUUUCCUUGUUUUUCCCGCCUAUAUACCGCCGUCGUCAGCCCACCCUAUGAAGGACUAAAAGUAGGCUAAAUUGGCACAGCCCAGAACGUCAGGCCGAGGUGUAGCGUAUGGAAGGGGAAGAAAUGGGCUACAUUCCCUAUAUUAGGGCACACGAAUGGUGUGCUGAAACACACAUCUUGAAGGAGGAUUUAGCAGUAAGCAGGAAGUAGAGCGUCCUGCUGAAACUGGCUC